CUCUGUGACUCCUACGGGAGGCAGCAGUGGGGAAUAUUGCACAAUGGGCGCAAGCCUGAUGCAGCCAUGCCGCGUGUAUGAAGAAGGCCUUCGGGUUGUAAAGUACUUUCAGCAGUGAGGAAGGCGGAGUCGUUAAUAGCGGCCUCGUUUGACGUUAGCUGCAGAAGAAGCACCGGCUAACUCCGUGCCAGCAGCCGCGGUAAUACGGAGGGUGCGAGCGUUAAUCGGAAUUACUGGGCGUAAAGCGCAUGCAGGUGGUUUGUUAAGUCAGAUGUGAAAGCCCCGGGGCUCAACCUCGGAAUUGCAUUUGAAACUGGCAGACUAGAGUACUGUAGAGGGGGUAGAAUUUCAGGUGUAGCGGUGAAAUGCGUAGAGAUCUGAAGGAAUACCGGUGGCGAAGGCGGCCCCCUGGACAGAUACUGACACUCAGAUGCGAAAGCGUGGGGAGCAAACAGGAUUAGAUACCCUGGUAG
This 473-nucleotide ribosomal RNA is filed under the name uncultured bacterium. RNAcentral describes it as "bacterial SSU rRNA". It matches the Rfam family "Bacterial small subunit ribosomal RNA", at positions 328 to 793 of the family's 1533-position model. The record is from RNAcentral.